CAAAUAAAUCUGCAUUUAAACUGUGUCACCAGACAAUAUUGAUGUUAACAUAUCCCCUGUUGACAUUUUGACCCUCAGGUAUUAUUGAUAUAGAGAUUAAAGACGGCUCUGUUUCUAUUAAAGUGUCCCAAUAAGACAUGACAACAUGAAACAGGACCCUGAAACUGAAACAGCGAAUUGGAAUUCAGCCAUCUUUCUUUUUAUUAUUUACAUUCGUGCUGUCAGCCAAAAAGCUCUGUGAAAAGGAUGGUUGCCAAAAUACAUAACGUACAUAUUAGUAUCAUAAUAGUUAUAAUAGUUAGUAGCAGCAGUGUCAGUAGCUGCAGUUUUAAUAUUUUAUGUUAUUGUUGUUGCUUACUCAGAAUGAUGUAACAGCUUUCCCUCUGCAGAUUGGAAGCAGCCACUCUAAGAGGAAAACGAAAGUAAGCCGCACAGUGCCGAUGAUGUGAUGGGAAAAUCCCCAUCCGGCAUUUAUAAGGAGGCACAGAGCUGCUCUGACUCACAGAUAAAACAGCUCAGUGCAGAGACACAGUAGCAGGAGACACAAUCGGAGCUGAACGAUUUGGACUGCACAACUGGAGAUGAGGAAGCUUUUGAAUAUAAGAAAAAGGAGCAAAUCCUGGGGAACAGACAGCAGGAAGCCUCUUAUAGAGAAUAACAACAACGACAUACAAGAUGGGUGCAGCGGGUACGACAACCCCCUGGAUCAGAACACCUGCACCACCCAGGUGGAGAAGGAGAUCCCACUGCAGGAACUGGCUGAACUUCUGGGUGUGACUCCUGAUGUCAACCCGUCUGAGGAUGGAUCGUGUUGCUCACUGCGGCCUGAGACCAACUCACCUCAGCAGAAGCAGAGAGCUGUUCGCCUCAUACAAGCAUCAGUGUCCCAGCACCUCCCAAAGCCGCCAUCAGAUCUGGACCAGAACCUUCAGCAGCACCUGGUCAAUGUGCAGGAGACUGUGCCCAAUGAGCUCAUGAGGCUGUGGCCCCUGUUGGAGAAAAUGGAUUUGACUGAAAGUCUGAUUGAUUGCUACCAUCGUCAGACACUCGGUCACAUCGAUGAGCUACUCAAGAACGCCCAGUCCUGCAAGAAAGCCUUUGUGCUGAUGAACUGGGUCCUAAAUACAUAUCUGAGUCAGGAGCUGCUCGGUCAUCCCGACCUCCAGAAAAUGGAUCCGAUGAAGAAAGUCGACCUCCUGCUGUUCACAGAAUUGGCAGUAAAGGCAAAGAACAAGCUGCUGGACAACGUGCAGAAACAGGUCAGAGCACAUCUGGAGAACAUCCUGCAGAUCGAGAGGCGACAGGACGUUGGUGAUAAAGAGGAAACUUGCAUUGGACUUUAUAUCAACACCAUUAUGUGUAUUAAUGCGAUGCCCAAAGAAGCACAAGAAAUCAGCUCCAAACUGUCCGAUGAGGUCCGGGAGGUUUGUUUCCAGGAGCUGCUGAUAUUUCUGGAGAGGUACUCGUCCGAGCAGACUGAGAUUCUUGGGAAAAAAGCAAAAAUGGACAAACCAGAAACGAUACACUUCUUCAAGACGCUGAAAACCUGUAAAGAACUCAAGCAGCACGUCCAGACCAACAGCAAAGGCAUCAACGAGUCACUGAUCCAGGAAAUUGCAGAAACUCUUGAGAAGAUGGAGGAUUUUACUCUGAAACUCCUGAUGGAUAUUGUUGACGACAUGGCGGAGAUCCACCUGAGCAAUUACUUCAAGACGGAGAACAAGCAGUUCUUCUUCUUGAUCCUCGGACUGAAGGCGUAUUUCCCCAAGCUGUCGUGGUGUCAGGAUGUACAAAAGAGAGUGAUGGACGAGGCCUACAAGCUCAUCGCUCACAUUUACCUCAAACAUCUCGUCCAAAGCAGCCAGAAGAAACUGAAGAAGUGCUGGAGCGCUGAUGUUGGUCAGACGGUUACCGAAGAUGCCCAGAGUCUUCACGACACCAUCUCUGGCCUGGUGAGACCAACAGUUUGGUAUUAA
This 1976-nucleotide long non-coding RNA is filed under the name Sparus aurata (gilthead seabream). RNAcentral's name for it is "lncRNA (ENSSAUG00010016109.1)". The record is from RNAcentral. Lineage: Eukaryota; Metazoa; Chordata; Actinopteri; Spariformes; Sparidae.